CUGGCCUCAAACUCAAACUCCUGACCUCAAAUGAUCCGCCCGCCUCUGCCUCCGAACGUGCUGGGAUUACAGGCGUGAGCCACCGCGCCCCGACGGUUCUGUUUUUGUAAUCAGCGCACAGGUUCAUUUUUCUGGGUGUUGGGGGAGGAACCUGGUGGGAGGUGAUUGGAUCAUGGAGGUGGCGUUCACCAUGCUGUUCUUGUGAUAGCAGGAGCGCCACCUGGAGGUAGGAGGUGAAGUCUGCAGAGAGAAGCUGGAAAUGUACUGAUGGAUCCCCAAGGAUUCAGUAAUGUGACCAAGCAGAGGAGCUGCGUUUACAGGCAUCAGGGGAACUGCAGGAGUCUCUGUCAUUCAGGCUGGAACUUCUGACCUCAGUUGAUCCUCCCC
This is a non-coding RNA of Chlorocebus sabaeus (green monkey), 387 nucleotides long. Lineage: Eukaryota; Metazoa; Chordata; Mammalia; Primates; Cercopithecidae. The record is from RefSeq and is a predicted model, not a curated record.